Molecule: ribosomal RNA, 356 nt
Filed under: uncultured bacterium
Lineage: Bacteria
Description: bacterial SSU rRNA
Rfam family: Bacterial small subunit ribosomal RNA
Source: RNAcentral
GGGCCUGCACAAGCGGUGGAGUAUGUGGCUUAAUUCGAUGCAACGCGAAGAACCUUACCUGGCCUUGACAUGCAUCUCUAAGCGUGUGAAAGCACGUGACCCCUCGGGGAAUUUGCACAGGUGCUGCAUGGCUGUCGUCAGCUCGUGUCGUGAGAUGUUGGUUAAGUCCCGCAACGAGCGCAACCCUUGUGUCCUGUUGCCACUUCCGCUAGCGCGGAAAGCACUCUGGACAGACUGCCUCGUCUCAACGAGGAGGAAGGUGGGGAUGACGUCAAGUCAGUAUGGCCCUUACGGCCAGGGCUGCACACGUACUACAAUGGUGAGGACAGAGAGUUGCCAACCCGCGAGGUGGAGCA